CAGAUAUGGCAGGAGUAUGGAGAAACCCUAACUAGAGAACGAAAAGAAGGUGCUGCUAAAUUUGAAGCUGAAUCCUACAGAGUUUGUCCUGUAGGAUCUGUAGGAUCAGUUAGUCAAGUUCAUGUCAAGAUUUACUUUUGAAAGCACAAAAAGAGUAUAAAGAGAUUUUGCUGAAACAUUACAUGACCUGAAACAUAAACAGUAAAAAAUUAUUUACUGUACUGUUUACAUAACAUUUUGUUUUCCAUUAGACACAUGACAUGAACUUUUUAUUAAAGAAAAAAUUUUUUGAUCAUA
This is a long non-coding RNA of Myotis daubentonii (Daubenton's bat), 297 nucleotides long. RefSeq lists it as uncharacterized. The record is from RefSeq and is a predicted model, not a curated record. Lineage: Eukaryota; Metazoa; Chordata; Mammalia; Chiroptera; Vespertilionidae.